Molecule: ribosomal RNA, 253 nt
Filed under: uncultured bacterium
Lineage: Bacteria
Description: partial 16S ribosomal RNA
Rfam family: Bacterial small subunit ribosomal RNA
Source: RNAcentral
UACGUAGGCAGCAAGCGUUGUUCGGAAUUACUGGGCGUAAAGAGUGUGUAGGCGGUGCUCUAAGUCUGUUGCGAAAUCUCCCGGCUUAACCGGGAGGGUGCGGCGGAAACUGGAGUGCUUGAGGGUGGGAGAGGUAAGCGGAAUUCCUGGUGUAGCGGUGAAAUGCGUAGAUAUCAGGAGGAACACCGAUGGCGAAGGCAGUGCUCUGGCCGAAGACCGACGCUGAGGCGCGAAAGCUGGGGGAGCGAACGGG